AAAUUUGGAAGUUAUGUACUCCUUACGAUACAUAUUAAGUGUCGCUGAUUUAUUACAACAACUUUGUACUAAAUCAGCGACACUUAUUAGGCAUGUUCAAUUUAAUCUUCAGUUUCCAAUAUUCCUGAAUUAAUUAUCAAGAGUUGCAUAACAUGGUUUUUCUGUGGAUAACAUUAUGGUGAUUAUUUAUUUCUCCCAGAUAUUUGCUCUGCAUGUUACUGGAUCACUUAAUACUGUCCUAUCAACAGAACAUCGACACGAGAUUUGUCGCUAUAUUUACAACCAUCAGCCAUGCCGAUCAAUUCCAGUUACCUUCUGUUAAAUGCUGAUUGCUAUUUGAUGGUACAGAGAAACAUGACAAUUUGUAUGUAAUGUUAUCCAUGUAGAAUGAAGAUGGUGGUUGGGGCACGCAAGUGUUGGGGCCUAGCACCAUGUUUGGAUCAUGCUUAAACUAUGUUACCUUGAGGCUUCUUCACCAGGUUGACAAUGAUGCCUUGACAAGGGGCCGUGCUUGGAUAAUAUCACGUGGAAGUGCAGCUGCAAUACCACAGUGGGGUAAGAUAUCUGCUAUCAUUGAUGAUGUGUAAACAGGAAAGUUUUGCACUCAAAUGAUAUUGCUUGUAAUUUCCACAAAAUAUAUUCCUUGAACUUUAGCUAGCAUAUUUAUUUUUCUUAAUGUGUGUAGUGGUGGGUUAAUUUGCAUAUGCACAUUACUGUGUACAGCUUCUCGGCUUCUCCUAUGUCAUUUGGAAGGCAUGUCCAUUUUGAAGUCCACAUGCUCUGAUACAUGGUGAAAAAAUAUAUAUGGAGCUAGGCCAAAAUUCUUAUAUUGCUGUGUUUUAUACUGCAUUCCACAUGCUCUCGUUCCUGACGAGAAUAUAUAUGGAGCUAGGCCAAGAUUCAGGUACAUGCUGUCUAGGUACUGCUCUCAUUCCACAUGCUGUCUAGGUACUGAGUUUAUAGCGCUAGAAGCAUUCUUGUUCUAGAUUUUGACUUGUAUUGUUCAUUUCUUUGUUUUUUACUGCCUUCGUAGCUGAAGGAUUACCGAGACUGUUUGGACUGAAGUCUGAAUAUGUACCAUUUCUUUCGUCUGAGAGAAAUAACAUAUUGAUUAAUUGGCUAAACCUUGAGAUAGGAGAUUUCCAACGAGGAAAAUUGAAGUAUUUUUGGUGUUAUCACUGAUCUGCAAAGACGGUGCCAACUCUAUGACAAUAAGGUGCUCCGUCUGCUAAUGGAGUAUUAUAUAACAAUCAAACUUGGUUUUGGUUGUUGCUCCUAUGGAUAAACAAAUGAAUAGUGUUUAUUUGCGUUUAAGGCAAUUACCGAAUGGGAAGUAGAUGUAUGUUGUUCGUGCAUAGGCUUGUGAUUCAAUGUCUCACAGUUUGGGUAGAUCAAUUAUUUUCUCUUGUUCAUUGUAUGUUUGAUUGAAGUUACUUAAGUUGCUUCAUGGUUUAUGGAUAAGAAAUGAUUUGCAAAAAAUUUAACUUGUUGAGUGAAUUUGGACCAUAUGCUGAAGAACCAUUUCAAAGAAAUACCCAUGCUGUUAUGAACAGGUUCUAAAAACAGCCGUGGUGAAAAGUGUAGUUACAUAGGUAGCUUUCCACUAUUUAUAGUUUUCUUGGUUAUAAUCCAUUCUCAAAUUAAGUUUCUGUAACUGAAUAUGUUCAUUUGCAGUCACUGAGGGUGUAUGACUGCAAGUUGCACAUUGGUCCUUGCACUACAAGGGGGAUGUAUGCCAUUACUCCAGGCUGGGAUUGUCGCAUGAAAGUAAGUCUUAUUCCCUUGUCACUCCUCUUGUGCUAGGUCAUUCUUGUGGUGGCGCUGGACCGGAGGUGGAGGAGCAGCGAGGGACGACGCUGGGCCGGAGGAGGAGGAGAAGCGAGGGCGGAGCUAGGCCGCAGGUGGAGGAGCAGCGAGCGGCUCUUGGGGUGGCGUUGGGUGAAGGAGGUGUUGGGCACAGGCCGACCAGUGCUGGCCGCCCUCCCUCGGCCAUGCCCUCGCCCAUCGCUGUCCUGGUCGCCUCUUCCCCAACCCUAUUCUAUAAGCAGAGCAAGUUCCCCCCCAAGCAGCUUGCUUUACUCAUCAAAAAACAAGUACUCAAAUUGAUUUUAGAUCAAGCUUGAGCAGUUUGUCCCCAAAUUAAAAAUUUACUGUUGAAAUGUAGUCAAGCCAGACCUUUUGUGAUUCCAAAGGAGUAGUCUGUUGUGGGUCAAAAUAAUUGGUAUUUUUGCUUUGAUCAGUUUCAUUGCAGUCAAAAUAAUUGAUAUUUUUUUGGUGGUAAUAUGGAUGCACUUGCUGUUGCUGGUAUUGCCUAAUAAUACGACUAAUCAUGCACAUGUCAUGUUCAUCUGAUAUUAUGUCUUUCAUUUAUAUAUCUUUGAUUUGACCCUCCAUCUUUCAACAACUUUCUUAUGGAAUACUAAACCAAACUCAGUUUACUUUGAUGCUAAUAUAUUUAGCUCUUUGUUCCAUUGCAGGAGAUUAUCAGCUCACUUUUUGUUUACAGGAAAAUUUAUUGAGACUCAAGAUUCAACACAAACUGAAGGCUCCGAGAUUUAUGAAGCAUAUGUCUAAUAAAUGAACCAAUAUUUUUUUGUUUAUGCUUUUUGGUGCUUAGUUCCUACUUAGUAAUUCCUUAUGACUUAGGAACAUUUUGAGAGAACUGAGUUGCUGAAUACUAAGGUAUAUAGUCGUUUCCCCCACUCCUGUUCCUAUGUAUUUUUGUUCAUCCUAUAAAUUGUGGUAAAGCAUAGCUUUUCCACUCUCAAGUAGGUCCCAUGAUGUCAUAAAGAACGUAUGUCCUACUUUUCUAAUGUCCACCUAAUUUGAAUUGGCAAGAAAAAGUACCGCCUUUUUUAUUUUUAGAGGAUAAAGAAAUGGUUGUGGCUGUUUAUUAAUCUCCAGAGAAGCAUAAUGGUGCAGUUCAUUUUAAUAUACACUUGCACACCGAGUUGCAGCCUCUGUUCGGUUACCCCGUGCUGAUGUCCAGUUCAGUCCACCUCACCGUUUAGUUGAGCUUCAGCUAAAGAAUUUGUCACAUGAACCUGCACCAAUACGAUGGUAGAUUGGCGCGUUCUCCCUUGCCAUCAUCAUCUCUAGCUAAGUUUUGGUGUUUGCUCAUAUUCAGGUUCUCUAUUUAUGCUAUACUUAUUUGAAAUUUAUUCGAUUCAUUUCGUUUAUUACCUGAACUCUGUUUGUGCUGAUACUAAUCCAAGUAAGUGUGUUAUCAUCUUUCAUAUUUUAGUUUUUCCUUUAUUGUAAACUUGCUACCGCCUUAUCAAUGCAGCAGCGGAUUUUCCGCUCUCAUAAUGUGAUGUGCUCAUAAUCCUUCAUGACGUAUUAACCACGAUUUCUUCUAGAAAACUUCAUCUUCGUAGUUAUUGUUUAAUCCAUAGUUUUCUUUAUAUUUCUUGUUCAGUACCUGUAACUUCUUUCCAAGACUUUGUCUCACUGAAUUGCAGGUUAGGUUUAUUAAUUUCUGCUAUUACAUGUUUAAGUUCUGAACUCUUCUAACUUUUUUCCAUGAAGGGGAAAGUCCGCUGCUCUACCAAGUUGUACCAACUGAUGUGAAGAUGUGAUAGAGUUUGGAACAUAUUAUUUACUUAUUAUGGCAGCAAAGGCCAAGCUCCAAUGCCACAUGGAGGUGCAAACGGAAGCUGCAAUACCAGGGUGGUGGAGGCACCUGAGGGGGGCAAAUUCAUCGUGAGCGUUGAUUCGUCAUGCGACCAAUGGGACCUUGUACGUGCGGGGGCUGCCGGUCGGAGGCAGUCACACAGGCUCGUUCGCAUCACCCUCCUUCUGUGAGGCAGUGAAAACCUAGAUCGAGGCAGCUCCCCAAUCCCCGCCUCCUCUCCUGUACUCCAAUCAUUCAUCUCCUUCCUCCUCCAAUCCGCGCCGCAUCAUGUCCUCCCAAACAGGGCGUGGCCGACGUGAGCGAGGACGGAGCGAGGGUG
This is a long non-coding RNA of Lolium rigidum, 3953 nucleotides long. RefSeq lists it as uncharacterized. The record is from RefSeq and is a predicted model, not a curated record. Lineage: Eukaryota; Viridiplantae; Streptophyta; Magnoliopsida; Poales; Poaceae. The transcript has 3 exons.